This 377-nucleotide ribosomal RNA is filed under the name uncultured bacterium. RNAcentral describes it as "bacterial SSU rRNA". It matches the Rfam family "Bacterial small subunit ribosomal RNA", at positions 521 to 896 of the family's 1533-position model. The record is from RNAcentral.
UAACACGGGGGGAGCAAGCGUUGUUCGGAAUCACUGGGCGUAAAGGGCGUGUAGGCGGUCAGGUAAGUGUGAUGUGAAAUCCCUCGGCUCACCCGAGGACCGGCAUCGCAUACUGCUUGGCUUGAGUACGGGAGAGGAUGUGGGAAUUCCUGGUGUAGCGGUGAAAUGCGUAGAUAUCAGGAGGAACACCGGUGGCGAAGGCGCACAUCUGGCCCGAUACUGACGCUGAGGCGCGAAAGCUAGGGGAGCAAACGGGAUUAGAUACCCCGGUAGUCCUAGCCGUAAACGGUGAUCACUAGGUGUUGGAGGCAUUGACCCCUCCAGUGCCGCAGCUAACGCAUUAAGUGAUCCGCCUGGGGAGUACGGCCGCAAGGUUG